This 513-nucleotide ribosomal RNA is filed under the name uncultured bacterium. RNAcentral describes it as "partial 16S ribosomal RNA". It matches the Rfam family "Bacterial small subunit ribosomal RNA", at positions 28 to 523 of the family's 1533-position model. The record is from RNAcentral.
GAUGAACGCUGGCGGCGUGCCUAAUACAUGCAAGUCGAGCGAACAGACGAGGAGCUUGCUCCUCUGACGUUAGCGGUGGACGGGUGAGUAACACGUGGAUAACCUACCUAUAAGACUGGGAUAACUUCGGGAAACCGGAGCUAAUACCGGAUAACAUGUUGAACCGCAUGGUUCAACAGUGAAAGACGGUCUUGCUGUCACUUAUAGAUGGAUCCGCGCCGCAUUAGCUAGUUGGUAAGGUAACGGCUUACCAAGGCAGCGAUGCGUAGCCGACCUGAGAGGGUGAUCGGCCACACUGGAACUGAGACACGGUCCAGACUCCUACGGGAGGCAGCAGUAGGGAAUCUUCCGCAAUGGGCGAAAGCCUGACGGAGCAACGCCGCGUGAGUGAAGAAGGUCUUCGGAUCGUAAAACUCUGUUAUUAGGGAAGAACAAAUGUGUAAGUAACUAUGCACGUCUUGACGGUACCUAAUCAGAAAGCCACGGCUAACUACGUGCCAGCAGCCGCGGUAA